GAUGAACGCUGGCGGCGUGCCUAAUACAUGCAAGUCGAGCGAACGGACGAGAAGCUUGCUUCUCUGAUGUUAGCGGCGGACGGGUGAGUAACACGUGGAUAACCUACCUAUAAGACUGGGAUAACUUCGGGAAACCGGAGCUAAUACCGGAUAAUAUUUUGAACCGCAUGGUUCAAAAGUGAAAGACGGUCUUGCUGUCACUUAUAGAUGGAUCCGCGCUGCAUUAGCUAGUUGGUAAGGUAAGGGCUUACCAAGGCAACGAUGCAUAGCCGACCUGAGAGGGUGAUCGGCCACACUGGAACUGAGACACGGUCCAGACUCCUACGGGAGGCAGCAGUAGGGAAUCUUCCGCAAUGGGCGAAAGCCUGACGGAGCAACGCCGCGUGAGUGAUGAAGGUCUUCGGAUCGUAAAACUCUGUUAUUAGGGAAGAACAUAUGUGUAAGUAACUGUGCACAUCUUGACGGUACCUAAUCAGAAAGCCACGGCUAACUACGUGCCAGCAGCCGCGGUAAUACGUAGGUGGCAAGCGUUAUCCGGAAUUAUUGGGCGUAAAGCGCGCGUAGGCGGUUUUUUAAGUCUGAUGUGAAAGCCCACGGCUCAACCGUGGAGGGUCAUUGGAAACUGGAAAACUUGAGUGCAGAAGAGGAAAGUGGAAUUCCAUGUGUAGCGGUGAAAUGCGCAGAGAUAUGGAGGAACACCAGUGGCGAAGGCGACUUUCUGGUCUGUAACUGACGCUGAUGUGCGAAAGCGUGGGGAUCAAACAGGAUUAGAUACCCUGGUAGUCCACGCCGUAAACGAUGAGUGCUAAGUGUUAGGGGGUUUCCGCCCCUUAGUGCUGCAGCUAACGCAUUAAGCACUCCGCCUGGGGAGUACGACCGCAAGGUUGAAACUCAAAGGAAUUGACGGGGACCCGCACAAGCGGUGGAGCAUGUGGUUUAAUUCGAAGCAACGCGAAGAACCUUACCAAAUCUUGACAUCCUUUGACAACUCUAGAGAUAGAGCUUUCCCCUUCGGGGGACAAAGUGACAGGUGGUGCAUGGUUGUCGUCAGCUCGUGUCGUGAGAUGUUGGGUUAAGUCCCGCAACGAGCGCAACCCUUAAGCUUAGUUGCCAUCAUUAAGUUGGGCACUCUAAGUUGACUGCCGGUGACAAACCGGAGGAAGGUGGGGAUGACGUCAAAUCAUCAUGCCCCUUAUGAUUUGGGCUACACACGUGCUACAAUGGACAAUACAAAGGGCAGCGAAACCGCGAGGUCAAGCAAAUCCCAUAAAGUUGUUCUCAGUUCGGAUUGUAGUCUGCAACUCGACUACAUGAAGCUGGAAUCGCUAGUAAUCGUAGAUCAGCAUGCUACGGUGAAUACGUUCCCGGGUCU
RNAcentral lists this ribosomal RNA (1372 nucleotides) under uncultured bacterium. Its description in RNAcentral is "bacterial SSU rRNA". It matches the Rfam family "Bacterial small subunit ribosomal RNA", at positions 28 to 1381 of the family's 1533-position model. The record is from RNAcentral.